UACGAGUGGUGAACUAUAGCGUGCGUACC
This 29-nucleotide non-coding RNA is filed under the name Mus musculus (house mouse). The record is from RNAcentral. Lineage: Eukaryota; Metazoa; Chordata; Mammalia; Rodentia; Muridae.